UACGUAGGGUGCAAGCGUUAUCCGGAAUUAUUGGGCGUAAAGAGCUCGUAGGCGGUCUGUCGCGUCUGCUGUGAAAACUGGGGGCUCAACCCCCAGCCUGCAGUUGGUACGGGCAGACUAGAGUGCGGUAGGGGAGAUUGGAACUCCUGGUGUAGCGGUGGAAUGCGCAGAUAUCAGGAAGAACACCGAUGGCGAAGGCAGAUCUCUGGGCCGUAACUGACGCUGAGGAGCGAAAGCAUGGGGAGCGAACAGG
RNAcentral lists this ribosomal RNA (253 nucleotides) under uncultured bacterium. RNAcentral's name for it is "partial 16S ribosomal RNA". It matches the Rfam family "Bacterial small subunit ribosomal RNA", at positions 524 to 776 of the family's 1533-position model. The record is from RNAcentral.